Non-coding RNA from Orbicella faveolata, 73 nucleotides. Lineage: Eukaryota; Metazoa; Cnidaria; Anthozoa; Scleractinia; Merulinidae. The record is from the annotation of a RefSeq genome assembly.
GUCUUGAUAGCUCAGUUGGUAGAGCACUGCACCGGCAUCGCAGAGGUCGUGGGUUCGAUUCCCGUUCAGGCCU